AUUGAACGCUGGCGGCAGGCCUAACACAUGCAAGUCGAGCGGAUGAAGGGAGCUUGCUCCUGGAUUCAGCGGCGGACGGGUGAGUAAUGCCUAGGAAUCUGCCUGGUAGUGGGGGAUAACGUCCGGAAACGGGCGCUAAUACCGCAUACGUCCUGAGGGAGAAAGUGGGGGAUCUUCGGACCUCACGCUAUCAGAUGAGCCUAGGUCGGAUUAGCUAGUUGGUGGGGUAAAGGCCUACCAAGGCGACGAUCCGUAACUGGUCUGAGAGGAUGAUCAGUCACACUGGAACUGAGACACGGUCCAGACUCCUACGGGAGGCAGCAGUGGGGAAUAUUGGACAAUGGGCGAAAGCCUGAUCCAGCCAUGCCGCGUGUGUGAAGAAGGUCUUCGGAUUGUAAAGCACUUUAAGUUGGGGGGAAGGGCAGUAAGUUAAUACCUUGCUGUUUUGACGUUACCGACAGAAUAAGCACCGGCUAACUUCGUG
Molecule: ribosomal RNA, 484 nt
Filed under: uncultured bacterium
Lineage: Bacteria
Description: partial 16S ribosomal RNA
Rfam family: Bacterial small subunit ribosomal RNA
Source: RNAcentral